Ananas comosus (pineapple) is the source of this 747-nucleotide long non-coding RNA. RefSeq lists it as uncharacterized. NCBI's taxonomy places the organism in Eukaryota, Viridiplantae, Streptophyta, Magnoliopsida, Poales, Bromeliaceae. The transcript is spliced from 5 exons. The record is from RefSeq and is a predicted model, not a curated record.
UAUAGAUGAGAUUUGAGCCUCGAUUUUGUGAUUACCCAAGUACACUAAUGCAGUUUUUGAUAGUCGAGUUCACAGCAGGUAUUUCCCAUUCUUUGAGCUGAGUUGAUGAAGUGUGAAGCUGAAUUUGAGUACUUCUAUCUUCAGCAAAGUCGAAUUUUCCUGUGGGGGAAUUAAGCUUGCGACAGGGUAUUGGAUAGUCUCAACUGAAUUCUAGGAGCUUGGAAAGGCUAAUUUAGUGUCUUUACCUAAACCGAAGCAGGGGUUAAGCUGCAGCCUGGCACAAGGUUUGGUGCUCAUUUUGAGAUGAUUAUUGAGACCCUUGAAGCUGAAUUUGGGCUGAUUUGAGGAGGACCCAACUUCAGUUAAAGCAGAGGUUUAGUUUAGACUAAACCUAGGGAAUUUGGAUACUUCGGAUUGCCUACAAUUGUGAGAACAACAAGAAUUGUCAUCGAGUAGAGCCCUCUGCUAUAGGAGAGGCUAGGUAUCGUGGCAAGGGAGUCGCGUCUAGCUAGAUAUAGCUUGGAGCUUGACUAGAUGAUCACCUUGCUACUCGGGCUACAGCCGAGGGUGAUGUACCCGUGUAUAUAGAGAGACUACCAUUGUAUAUAUAUUUUGAGUGACCCUGUGAUGUCUGUGUGGUUUGAACCGGAAACUACAGUUUUGAUGUUUCUCUAUGAUGUUGAGAUUUUGGGUUGUAGAUUUACUGUUCUUCUGAUAGUGAUAUUAUUGACUUAUACUUUGCUCUGA